AACGCACAUUGCGCUUCCUGGCAUUCCGGGGAGCAUGCCUGUUUCAGAAUCAUUAAAACCUCUCACCUACUAUUGUGUUUUAUGCCAAUAGCUCGGUGGAUUUUGAAUGCUUUCGAAAUUUAUUUUGAAUCAUUUAAAUUUUAUCGUGUGCAGCCAUUAUUUUCACUCAUUUCAAAAUGUUUGGUGAAUGGUUCCCAAGUGCAAUAAAGACUAAAAAUCUCUUAUACUCUUGAGUGCCGCUAAAUUCCUGGACAAUUAAUUUUGGACUGAGAUUAAUGAAGUAAUUUUUGUAUCUCAAUUAAUUAUACGAUUUGUUUAUUCUGCGAAAGCAAAAUAAAUAAUUCGAAACUUUGAUCUGAAAUCAAGCAAGAAAACCCGCUGAACUUAA
This 388-nucleotide unclassified non-coding RNA is filed under the name uncultured fungus. RNAcentral's name for it is "partial contains 5.8S ribosomal RNA, internal transcribed spacer 2, and large subunit ribosomal RNA". The record is from RNAcentral. Lineage: Eukaryota; Fungi.